This 469-nucleotide ribosomal RNA is filed under the name uncultured bacterium. Its description in RNAcentral is "partial 16S ribosomal RNA". It matches the Rfam family "Bacterial small subunit ribosomal RNA", at positions 28 to 507 of the family's 1533-position model. The record is from RNAcentral.
GACGAACGCUGGCGGCGUGCUUAACACAUGCAAGUCGAACGGAAAGGCCCUGCUUGCAGGGUGCUCGCGUGGCGAACGGGUGAGUAACACGUGGGUGAUCUGCCCCUUACUUUGGGAUAAGCCUGGGGAACUGGGUCUAAUACUGGGUAGGACCAUGCUGUAGGUGGGGUGGUGGAAGGAUUGGUUUCGGUAAGGGGUGAGCUCGCGGCCUAUAAGCUUGUUGGUGGGGUAAUGGCGUACCAAGGCGUCGACGGGUAGCCGGCCGGAGAGGGUGGACGGCCACAUUGGGACUGAGAUGCGGCCCCGACUCCUACGGGAGGCAGCAGUGGGGGAUAUUGCACAAUGGUGGCAAGCCUGAUGCAGCGACGCCGCGUGGGGGGUGACGGCCUUCGGGUUGUAAACUCCUUUCAGCCAUGACGAAGCCCUUGUGGUGACGGUAGUGGUAGAAGAAGCACCGGCUAACUACGUG